RNAcentral lists this non-coding RNA (31 nucleotides) under Mus musculus (house mouse). The record is from RNAcentral. Lineage: Eukaryota; Metazoa; Chordata; Mammalia; Rodentia; Muridae.
UGCAGGAAUUCUGAUCCCUUGCCACAUGUGU